This 254-nucleotide ribosomal RNA is filed under the name uncultured bacterium. RNAcentral describes it as "partial 16S ribosomal RNA". It matches the Rfam family "Bacterial small subunit ribosomal RNA", at positions 524 to 776 of the family's 1533-position model. The record is from RNAcentral.
UACGUAGGGUGCGAGCGUUACUCGGAAUUACUGGGCGUAAAGCGUGCGCAGGCGGUCUGUUAAGACCGAUGUGAAAUCCCCGGGCUUAACCUGGGAACUGCAUUGGUGACUGGCAGGCUUUGAGUGUGGCAGAGGGGGGUAGAAUUCCACGUGUAGCAGUGAAAUGCGUAGAGAUGUGGAGGAAUACCGAUGGCGAAGGCAGCCUCCUGGGCCAACACUGACGCUCAUGCACGAAAGCGUGGGGAGCAAACAGG